Molecule: ribosomal RNA, 491 nt
Filed under: uncultured bacterium
Lineage: Bacteria
Description: partial 16S ribosomal RNA
Rfam family: Bacterial small subunit ribosomal RNA
Source: RNAcentral
AGUGAACGCUGGCGGUAGGCCUAACACAUGCAAGUCGAACGGCAGCACAGUAAGAGCUUGCUCUUACGGGUGGCGAGUGGCGGACGGGUGAGGAAUACAUCGGAAUCUACUUUUUCGUGGGGGAUAACGUAGGGAAACUUACGCUAAUACCGCAUACGACCUACGGGUGAAAGCAGGGGAUCUUCGGACCUUGCGCGAUUGAAUGAGCCGAUGUCGGAUUAGCUAGUUGGCGGGGUAAAGGCCCACCAAGGCGACGAUCCGUAGCUGGGCUGAGAGGAUGAUCAGCCACACUGGAACUGAGACACGGUCCAGACUCCUACGGGAGGCAGCAGUGGGGAAUAUUGGACAAUGGGCGCAAGCCUGAUCCAGCCAUACCGCGUGGGUGAAGAAGGCCUUCGGGUUGUAAAGCCCUUUUGUUGGGAAAGAAAAGCAGCAGGUUAAUACCCCGCUGUUCUGACGGUACCCAAAGAAUAAGCACCGGCUAACUGCGU